GACGAACGCUGGCGGCGUGCCUAAUACAUGCAAGUCGAGCGAGUCUGCCUUGAAGAUCGGAGUGCUUGCACUCUGUGAAACAAGAUACAGGCUAGCGGCGGACGGGUGAGUAACACGUGGGUAACCUGCCCAAGAGAUCGGGAUAACACCUGGAAACAGAUGCUAAUACCGGAUAACAACAGAUGAUGCCUAUCAACUGUUUAAAAGAUGGUUCUGCUAUCACUCUUGGAUGGACCUGCGGUGCAUUAGCUAGUUGGUAGGGUAACGGCCUACCAAGGCGAUGAUGCAUAGCCGAGUUGAGAGACUGAUCGGCCACAUUGGGACUGAGACACGGCCCAAACUCCUACGGGAGGCAGCAGUAGGGACUCUUCCACAAUGGACGCAAGUCUGAUGGAGCAACGCCGCGUGAGUGAAGAAGGGUUUCGGCUCGUAAAGCUCUGUUGUUGGUGAAGAAGGACAGGGGUAGUAACUGACCUUUGUUUGACGGUAAUCAAUUAGAAAGUCACGGCUAACUAAGUG
RNAcentral lists this ribosomal RNA (519 nucleotides) under uncultured bacterium. RNAcentral describes it as "partial 16S ribosomal RNA". It matches the Rfam family "Bacterial small subunit ribosomal RNA", at positions 28 to 507 of the family's 1533-position model. The record is from RNAcentral.